GUUUCUAAUGUCAAAUUUACAAUUUUUUGAAAUAUUUUUCGUUAAAAUUUAUUUUUAUACACAAUUAGCAACUUGCAUGGUGUAAUAUAUUGAAAAAAUCGACCCUUGCCCCCCUUCCUCGGCGUCCCUGUCAAUGAGUUUAAAAGAGACACUCGGUGACAAAAAUACGUAGUGGAUAGAAAACAAAAAAUAUACAUAAUCCCAAGGACAAAAUGUAUGGGGAUUCGUGGUGGAAAAUUCAAUAUUUCCAAUCGCAAUUUCAUUAUUUAACGUUUUGUAUACUAGCAAUAUAUAAAUAUUCCAAAUUUAUAUUAUUAAUAAAAGCGACAUCUAGCCAAUAGUAGAUUAACUUAUAUAUGAAUUAAUACAGAUUUCUGUAUCGUUUAAUGACAUUAUGUUGGUUAGCAGUGUUGAACUUUGAAAUUUUAUACACUAGAUGUCGAUAGUGAUAAUGAAUAUUAGAAUAUAUAAAUUUGUUUUAAGAUAUUUAAUUUCAAUGUUAUAAAUUGAAUGAUAAACAAAUUAAAAA
Long non-coding RNA from Diorhabda carinulata, 529 nucleotides. RefSeq lists it as uncharacterized. NCBI's taxonomy places the organism in Eukaryota, Metazoa, Arthropoda, Insecta, Coleoptera, Chrysomelidae. The record is from RefSeq and is a predicted model, not a curated record. The transcript is spliced from 2 exons.